Molecule: ribosomal RNA, 492 nt
Filed under: uncultured bacterium
Lineage: Bacteria
Description: partial 16S ribosomal RNA
Rfam family: Bacterial small subunit ribosomal RNA
Source: RNAcentral
AGUGAACGCUGGCGGUAGGCCUAACACAUGCAAGUCGAACGGCAGCACAGUAAGAGCUUGCUCUUACGGGUGGCGAGUGACGGACGGGUGAGGAAUACAUCGGAAUCUACUUUUUCGUGGGGGAUAACGUAGGGAAACUUACGCUAAUACCGCAUACGACCUACGGGUGAAAGCAGGGGAUCUUCUGACCUUGCGCGAUUGAAUGAGCCGAUGUCGGAUUAGCUAGUUGGCGGGGUAAAGGCCCACCAAGGCGACGAUCCGUAGCUGGUCUGAGAGGAUGAUCAGCCACACUGGAACUGAGACACGGUCCAGACUCCUACGGGAGGCAGCAGUGGGGAAUAUUGGACAAUGGGCGCAAGCCUGAUCCAGCCAUACCGCGUGGGUGAAGAAGGCCUUCGGGUUGUAAAGCCCUUUUGUUGGGAAAGAAAAGCAGCAGGUUAAUACCCCGCUGUUCUGACGGUACCCAAAGAAUAAGCACCGGCUAACUUCGUG